Molecule: Y RNA, 97 nt
Filed under: Microcebus murinus (gray mouse lemur)
Lineage: Eukaryota; Metazoa; Chordata; Mammalia; Primates; Cheirogaleidae
Description: Y RNA (ENSMICG00000043793.1)
Rfam family: Y RNA
About the family: Y RNAs are components of the Ro ribonucleoprotein particle (Ro RNP), in association with Ro60 and La proteins. The Y RNAs and Ro60 and La proteins are well conserved, but the function of the Ro RNP is not known.
Source: Rfam by way of RNAcentral
GGCUGGUCCAAUGAUAGUGGCUUAUCAGAACUUAACUAACAUUAGUGUCACUGACGUUGGUAUACAACCCCCCACAGCUAAAUUUGACUGGCUUAAA